AGGUAUGGAGACACACAAGAAGAGAGAAACUAAGAGACUUCACGGAAAAAUUGAAUGGACGAGUACAGCAGUCUUCUGAGUCAUUGCCUAUAACAGAUCACAUGGAAGCAUCAGAAUAAUCCUUAGGGCAGGGAAGUCCAAUCGAUUGACCCAGACUCAGUUUUGAGUAUGCAGCUGCUGGCAGGUAGAAAUUGAGCACCAUGACAAUUAAAACAAAAAUAUUACUUAGCUGUUGCUAAAAGAAGAAAAAAAGAAAGAAAAAAAUUCCAGCCACUCCCCUAGAACAUCUCACAAAAUGAGCCAUUCCAAAAAACUAAAGCUAAGGACAAUAUGGAUAAGUUUCUGUAAAAUCUAAAUUGAGAAGUUAGACAUAUCCAACAGGACUUGGAGAGGCCUGCCCUGCCCCGCAAGCAGGAGAGAGCAGAAGAGAGUCCCUGGGAGAAUCUGAUAUAUGUCCCUGGAGUCUGGGGGGACAGAGACUGAUAUCUGAGUCUUGCCUGGAAAGAUCUGUGAGAAGAGGCCUGCCCAGGCCACCUCUGUUGGCAAAGUGAGGAGAGAGAGCAGCUGAGAGACUGAGCCUCACUUGGUUUGCUGGGGAAAGAAC
Molecule: long non-coding RNA, 604 nt
Filed under: Equus caballus (horse)
Lineage: Eukaryota; Metazoa; Chordata; Mammalia; Perissodactyla; Equidae
Description: lncRNA (ENSECAG00000048033.1)
Source: RNAcentral